GUAGGCGGUUUGCCGCGUCUGCUGUGAAAGCCCGGGGCUUAACUCCGGGUGUGCAGUGGGUACGGGCAGGCUAGAGUGCAGUAGGGGAGACUGGAAUUCCUGGUGUAGCGGUGAAAUGCGCAGAUAUCAGGAGGAACACCGAUGGCGAAGGCAGGUCUCUGGGCUGUUACUGACGCUGAGAAGCGAAAGCAUGGGUAGCGAACAGGAUUAGAUACCCUGGUAGUCCAUGCCGUAAACGUUGGGCACUAGGUGUGGGGGACAUUCCACGUUUUCCGCGCCGUAGCUAACGCAUUAAGUGCCCCGCCUGGGGAGUACGGCCGCAAGGCUAAAACUCAAAGGAAUUGACGGGGGCCCGCACAAGCGGCGGAGCAUGCGGAUUAAUUCGAUGCAACGCGAAGAACCUUACCAAGGCUUGACAUACACCGGACCGCGCUGGAGACAGCGUUUCCCUUCGGGGCUGGUGUACAGGUGGUGCAUGGUUGUCGUCAGCUCGUGUCGUGAGAUGUUGGGUUAAGUCCCGCAACGAGCGCAACCCUUAUCCUAUGUUGCCAGCACGUGAUGGUGGGGACUCAUGGGAGACUGCCGGGGUCAACUCGGAGGAAGGUGGGGAUGACGUCAAAUCAUCAUGCCCCUUAUGUCUUGGGCUUCACGCAUGCUACAAUGGCCGGUACAGUGGGUUGCGAUGCCGUGAGGUGGAGCUAAUCCCUAAAAGCCGGUCUCAGUUCGGAUCGAAGUCUGCAACUCGACUUCGUGAAG
Molecule: ribosomal RNA, 756 nt
Filed under: uncultured bacterium
Lineage: Bacteria
Description: bacterial SSU rRNA
Rfam family: Bacterial small subunit ribosomal RNA
Source: RNAcentral